Molecule: non-coding RNA, 69 nt
Organism: Ictidomys tridecemlineatus (thirteen-lined ground squirrel)
Lineage: Eukaryota; Metazoa; Chordata; Mammalia; Rodentia; Sciuridae
Source: Rfam
GGGGUUGUAGCUCAGUGGUAGAACGCUUGCCUUGCACGCAUGAAGCCCUGGGUUCGGACCCCAGCACCA